RNAcentral lists this ribosomal RNA (468 nucleotides) under uncultured bacterium. RNAcentral describes it as "partial 16S ribosomal RNA". It matches the Rfam family "Bacterial small subunit ribosomal RNA", at positions 28 to 507 of the family's 1533-position model. The record is from RNAcentral.
GACGAACGCUGGCGGCGUGCUUAACACAUGCAAGUCGAACGGAAAGGCCCUGCUUUUGUGGGGUGCUCGAUUGGCGAACGGGUGAGUAACACGUGAGUAACCUGCCCUAGACUUUGGGAUAACUUCAGGAAACUGGGGCUAAUACCGGAUAGGAGCUCCUGCUGCAUGGUGGGGGUUGGAAAGUUUCGGCGGUCGGGGAUGGACUCGCGGGUUAUCAGCUUGUUGGUGGGGUAGUGGCUUACCAAGGCUUUGACGGGUAGCCGGCCUGAGAGGGUGACCGGGCACAAUGGGACUGAGAUACGGCCCAGACUCCUACGGGAGGCAGCAGUGGGGAAUAUUGCACAAUGGGCGGGAGCCUGAUGCAGCAACGCCGCGUGCGGGAUGACGGCCUUCGGGUUGUAAACCGCUUUCGCCUGUGACGAAGCGUGAGUGACGGUAAUGGGUAAAGAAGCACCGGCUAACUACGUG